Molecule: ribosomal RNA, 463 nt
Filed under: Theileria equi
Lineage: Eukaryota; Apicomplexa; Aconoidasida; Piroplasmida; Theileriidae
Description: SSU rRNA
Rfam family: Eukaryotic small subunit ribosomal RNA
Source: RNAcentral
GAAUUUAAACCCCUUCCAGAGUAUCAAUUGGAGGGCAAGUCUGGUGCCAGCAGCCGCGGUAAUUCCAGCUCCAAUAGCGUAUAUUAAACUUGUUGCAGUUAAAAAGCUCGUAGUUGAAUUUCUGCUGUUUCGUUGACUGCGUUUGGCGUUUGUCAUCGUUGCGGCUUGGUUGGGUUUCGAUUAUUCGUUUCCCGACGUUUACUUUGAGAAAAUUAGAGUGCUUGAAGCAGGCUCUUGCCUUGAAUACUUUAACAUGGAAUAACGGAGUAGGACUUUGGUUCUAUUUUGUUGGUUUUAGGAGCCAGAGUAAUGGUUAAUAGGAACAGUUGGGGGCAUUCGUAUUUGACUGUCAGAGGUGAAAUUCUUAGAUUUGUCAAAGACGAACUACUGCGAAAGCAUUUGCCAAGGAUGUUUUCAUUAAUCAAGAACGAAAGUUAGGGGAUCGAAGACGAUCAGAUACCGU